Molecule: ribosomal RNA, 405 nt
Filed under: uncultured Anaerolineae bacterium
Lineage: Bacteria; Bacillati; Chloroflexota; Anaerolineae
Description: bacterial SSU rRNA
Rfam family: Bacterial small subunit ribosomal RNA
Source: RNAcentral
UAGGGAAUAUUGCACAAUGGGCGAAAGCCUGAUGCAGCAACGCCGCGUGCACGAUGAAGGCCUUCGGGUCGUAAAGUGCUUUUCUGUAGGACGAGAGAGGACGGUACUGCAGGAAUAAGGAUCGGCUAACUACGUGCCAGCAGCCGCGGUAACACGUAGGAUCCGAGCGUUAUCCGAAUUCACUGGGCGUAAAGCGCUUGCAGGCGGCUGGGUAAGUUGGAUGUAAAAUCUUCUGGCUCAACUGGGAGAUGCCGUUCAAGACUGCCUGGCUAGAGGGCGAUAGAGGGAGGUGGAAUUCCCGGUGUAGUGGUGAAAUGCGUAGAUAUCGGGAGGAACACCAGAGGCGAAAGCGGCCUCCUGGAUCGCAACUGACGCUGAGAAGCGAAAGCUAGGGGAGCAAACGGG